RNAcentral lists this ribosomal RNA (406 nucleotides) under uncultured bacterium. Its description in RNAcentral is "partial 16S ribosomal RNA". It matches the Rfam family "Bacterial small subunit ribosomal RNA", at positions 30 to 526 of the family's 1533-position model. The record is from RNAcentral.
AUUGAACGCUGGCGGCAGGCCUAACACAUGCAAGUCGAACGAGUGGCGGACGGGUGAGUAAUGUCUGGGAAACUGCCUGAUGGAGGGGGAUAACUACUGGAAACGGUAGCUAAUACCGCAUACCAAAGAAUGUGCACAGAUGGGAUUAGCUAGUUGGUGGGGUAACGGCUCACCAAGGCGACUAUUCCUAGAUGGUCUGAGAGGAUGACAAGCCACACUGGAACUGCGACACGGUCCAGACUCCUACGGGAGGCAGCAGUGGGGAAUAUUGCACAAUGGGCGCAAGCCUGAUGCAGCCAUGCCGCGUGUAUGAAGAAGGCCUUCGGGUUGUAAAGUACUUUCAGCGGGGAGGCGUUACCCGCAGAAGAAGCACCGGCUAACUCCGUGCCAGCAGCCGCGGUAAUAC